AACCCCACCACCAGCGUAUAUAAGAAGCACAUAUACCCCUUUCAUCACCCUCCUUCGUUCAAAAGUCUCUCUUCUCCCCCUCUUCAGAUCAAAAUGAAUGCAGCUGCCAAUUUGCAGUGGAACUUUGAACUCUUGAACAUGCAUCAGGCUGCGUGGUCGAAAGCCUAGAAUGAUAAGCAACUUAUACAAGUUGAAGAUGAUCAUCGUCAUGCCUUCGAGCAACCUUGAGAAAAUGUCAAUCAGGCCAUUCAACAGGUCCGACAAAAUGCAGCUCUAGUCCUAUCUUCCAUCGCCAAGGCUAGGGCAUUUAUAGGCGUUUGGCAUGAGUUAGAAAAUAAUCGUGGUGCUCUGAACACUGUUCAAGUUGGGAACAUGAAUAAGAGAUAUAGAAUGACUAUCCGCCGCUGGCUGGAACAACGUCAAUUCACUAUUCAUAAUCCCCAGUAUACUUUAUACUUGCCAGCAGAACCAAUCCAGUAGUCCUUUUUUUCUUUUUUUUUAAUCUUUCUGGACCAUACCGACCCUUUAUAUAUAGUGUAGUUUGUUUGAGCUGUUUAAUAUAACUAUUAUCUUUGACAAUUCA
This is a long non-coding RNA of Eucalyptus grandis, 583 nucleotides long. RefSeq lists it as uncharacterized. Lineage: Eukaryota; Viridiplantae; Streptophyta; Magnoliopsida; Myrtales; Myrtaceae. The record is from RefSeq and is a predicted model, not a curated record. The transcript is spliced from 2 exons.